GAGACAGCAGCCGCCGCGGUAAUACGUAGGGUGCAAGCGUUAAUCGGAAUUACUGGGCGUAAAGCGUACGCAGGCGGUUAUAUAAGACAGAUGUGAAAUCCCCGGGCUCAACCUGGGAACUGCAUUUGUGACUGUAUAGCUAGAGUACGGCAGAGGGGGAUGGAAUUCCGCGUGUAGCAGUGAAAUGCGUAGAUAUGCGGAGGAACACCGAUGGCGAAGGCAAUCCCCUGGGCCUGUACUGACGCUCAUGCACGAAAGCGUGGGGAGCAAACAGGAUUAGAUACCCCGUAGUCCCUGUCUCUUAUACA
This 308-nucleotide ribosomal RNA is filed under the name uncultured bacterium. RNAcentral's name for it is "partial 16S ribosomal RNA". It matches the Rfam family "Bacterial small subunit ribosomal RNA", at positions 505 to 808 of the family's 1533-position model. The record is from RNAcentral.